UGGGGAAUCUUGCACAAUGGGGGAAACCCUGAUGCAGCGACGCCGCGUGAGCGAUGAAGCCCUUCGGGGUGUAAAGCUCUUUCGUCAGGGAAGAUAAUGACGGUACCUGGAGAAGCAGCUGCGGCUAACUACGUGCCAGCAGCCGCGGUAAUACGUAGGCAGCAAGCGUUGUUCGGAGUUACUGGGCGUAAAGGGUGUGUAGGCGGUUCUUUAAGUUUGGUGUGAAAUCUCCCGGCUCAACUGGGAGGGUGCGCCGAAUACUGAGGGACUAGAGUACGGGAGAGGAAAGUGGAAUUCCUGGUGUAGCGGUGAAAUGCGUAGAUAUCAGGAGGAACACCGGUGGUGUAGACGGCUUUCUGGACCGUAACUGACGCUGAGACACGAAAGCGUGGGUAGCAAACA
This 402-nucleotide ribosomal RNA is filed under the name uncultured Candidatus Solibacter sp. RNAcentral's name for it is "bacterial SSU rRNA". It matches the Rfam family "Bacterial small subunit ribosomal RNA", at positions 355 to 774 of the family's 1533-position model. The record is from RNAcentral. Lineage: Bacteria; Pseudomonadati; Acidobacteriota; Terriglobia; Bryobacterales; Solibacteraceae.